RNAcentral lists this ribosomal RNA (523 nucleotides) under uncultured Glomus. RNAcentral's name for it is "SSU rRNA". It matches the Rfam family "Eukaryotic small subunit ribosomal RNA", at positions 568 to 1092 of the family's 1831-position model. The record is from RNAcentral. Lineage: Eukaryota; Fungi; Glomeromycota; Glomeromycetes; Glomerales; Glomeraceae.
CAGCAGCCGCGGUAAUUCCAGCUCCAAUAGCGUAUAUUAAAGUUGUUGCAGUUAAAAAGCUCGUAGUUGAAUUUCGGGGUCAGUAGGUCGGUCGUGCCACUGGUAUGAACUGGUUUUACUGAUUCCUCCCUCUUGAAGAACUGUAAUGCCAUUAAUUUGGUGUUGCAGGGAAUCAGGACUGUUACUCUGAAAAAAUUAGAGUGUUUAAAGCAGGCUUUAGCUUGAAUACAUUAGCAUGGAAUAAUGAAAUAGGACGUUUGAUCCUAUUUUGUUGGUUUCUAGGAUUGACGUAAUGAUUAAUAGGGAUAGUUGGGGGCAUUAGUAUUCAAUUGUCAGAGGUGAAAUUCUUGGAUUUAUUGAAGACUAACUACUGCGAAAGCAUUUGCCAAGGAUGUUUUCAUUAAUCAAGAACGAAAGUUAGGGGAUCGAAGACGAUCAGAUACCGUCGUAGUCUUAACCAUAAACUAUGCCGACUAGGGAUCGGAUGAUGUUAAUUUUUUAAUGACUCAUUCGGCGCCUUACG